CGAGGGCGGGGGCAGGAGCUGGGGUUGGUUAAGGAGGCGGCCAGAGCUUCGGCGAUUGCCAGAACACGCUGAGGGCUCUGGGUGGCGGGAACCGCAGUCAUGGACCAUAUCACUGUGCCCAAGGUCACCUAACAAGAAGGUAAGGAUGGGGAAACGGACUUUGGCCCAGUGGUUAGGGCGUCCGUCUACCACAUGGGAGGUCCGCGGUUCAAGCCCCGGGCCUCCUUGACCCGUGUGGAGCUGGCCCAUGCGCAGUGCUGAUGCGCGCAAGGAGUGCCGCACCACGCAGGGUGUCCCCCGCGUAGGGGAGCCCCACGCGCAAGGAGUGCACCCAUAAGGAGAGCCGCCCAGCGCGAAGGAGGGAGCAGCCUGCCGAGGAAUGGAGCCACUCACACUUCCCGUGCCGCUGACGACAACAGAAGCGGACAAAGAAACAAGACUCAGCAAAGAGACACAGAAAACAGACAACCAGGGGAGGGGAG
Molecule: long non-coding RNA, 482 nt
Filed under: Dasypus novemcinctus (nine-banded armadillo)
Lineage: Eukaryota; Metazoa; Chordata; Mammalia; Cingulata; Dasypodidae
Description: lncRNA (ENSDNOG00000052405.1)
Rfam family: tRNA (bases 162-219)
Source: RNAcentral